GCAGGGAUAACCCAACCCUCCAAUUAACGUGCCUGAGCCAGUCUCCUCCUACGUCUGGAACUUUAGGAGAGCUGCCCACAGCAGAAUGACUCGGCAAGGAGAAGGGCUUGUCGGGUCUAGCUGGGAGCGGAGGUGGGCCAGGCUGCCAGAGGGAGGCUCUGGGUGGUGCCCUUAAGAGUCUCCGUCAUGAGCUGUUUUGCACUGUGAGCAUACCUCCAGAGAAGUGCCGAAAGCUUGCAUUCUUGCAGGUAAUACACCCAGCACCCAGAUCAAGAAACGGAACAUAAUCGGCACCCCAGAACCCCACCCUAAAUAUGUAAUUUUAAAAAAGAUUUUAAUAAAUAUCUUUUAGCACGCCCUUUA
Nomascus leucogenys (northern white-cheeked gibbon) is the source of this 363-nucleotide long non-coding RNA. RefSeq lists it as uncharacterized. Lineage: Eukaryota; Metazoa; Chordata; Mammalia; Primates; Hylobatidae. The record is from RefSeq and is a predicted model, not a curated record.